Molecule: ribosomal RNA, 401 nt
Filed under: uncultured bacterium
Lineage: Bacteria
Description: partial 16S ribosomal RNA
Rfam family: Archaeal small subunit ribosomal RNA
Source: RNAcentral
AUACCGGCUGCUCGAGUGAUGGCCACUAUUACUGGGUUUAAAGCGUCCGUAGCUUGACUGUUAGGUCUCUUGGGAAAUCUUUUGGCUUAACCAAAAGGCGUCUAAGAGAUACCGGCAUUCUUGGAACUGGGAGAGGUAAGCCGUACUUCGGGGGUAGGAGUGAAAUCUUGUAAUCCUCGAGGGACGACCUAUGGCGAAGGCAGCUUACCAGAACAGCUUCGACAGUGAGGGACGAAAGCUGGGGGAGCAAACGGGAUUAGAUACCCAGGUAGUCCCAGCCGUAAACAAUGUGCGUUAGGUGUGUCGGUUACCACGCGUAACUGAUGCGCCGAAGAGAAAUCGUGAAACGCACCACCUGGGAAGUACGGUCGCAAGGCUGAAACUUAAAUGAAUUGGCGGGG